GACAGUGUAGCCAAGUGGUUACGGCGUCACGUUUAGGCCCUUUUGGACUACCACCGUGAUGGGUUUCCCGCGCGAGUUCGAAUCUCGUCACUGUCA
Non-coding RNA from Pilatotrama ljubarskyi, 96 nucleotides. The record is from the annotation of a GenBank genome assembly. NCBI's taxonomy places the organism in Eukaryota, Fungi, Basidiomycota, Agaricomycetes, Polyporales, Polyporaceae.